Molecule: long non-coding RNA, 1111 nt
Filed under: Salvator merianae (Argentine black and white tegu)
Lineage: Eukaryota; Metazoa; Chordata; Lepidosauria; Squamata; Teiidae
Description: lncRNA (ENSSMRG00000003221.1)
Source: RNAcentral
GCAAUUUUAAACAAAAAAGCUUUCCUGUGAAUUAUAAUAGAGCAGGUAGUUCCUCAGGAAAACUUUUGGAAAAAGAAAACAGGUUCGGUUGUGUAAGUUUUGAGGCGUGUAAUUCUAGUGCUAUGGCUUUGGCAGAACAUGGCUCUGAUAGGGAGAAUGUUGCUGUUGAUUCUAAUUACACUGAGGCAAGAAAACAGGAGAGUAUCAGUCUGACCCAAACCUGGAAAAAGGAUUUAGAAGCUACUUCUUUGGUUACUCAAAGGGAAGAAAAUAGAGAGGCUUGUGUUUUUGUAGACUCUGGAGUAAGAAAGGAGGCUCAGGAUGUGUCUAGUAUGUGCAAAGGUAGUCCAGAGUUGAAACCACAGGAGAAAGUGUGUGCAGUGAGAUCUGUGGAUCUUCCAGCAGUGGCAGGAGCCUAUCUAUUAGGAUUGGUUUUAGGUUUCCAAUUAUCUUUGAAUGCUAGGAAGUUGCCAAAAGGUGAUCUCAGGUGUAAAAAGGAAGAAGAGGAUAACUUAGAGCAGAAAAAGGAAUUACUGUGUAUUCAGGAAGAAUCAGUGGUUGAAAGUAUAGAUUCACAGGAAUUUGUAAAUCAGAAGGAAAGUAUGCUGGAAUGCCAGAAUAUUUCUGAAUGGGUAAAAGAUGAGGACAAAAGAAAAUGUAGAAACCAGGAAAAGAUUAACAGGAAGAUUUUGCAGAACAAUGAAUUGUCUGUCCCUGUAGCAAAUUUGGGUGUUUUAAAGACAUCCCUUUUACAUCUGUAUCUUUGUUCAAGUUCUGAAUUUUUGAUACAAUACAGGGUGCAAUUUCUUUUCUCAAAGAUCAUUGUACUUGGAAAACCGCCACCAGAAACCACCCCCCCCCACAAACAGGGAAUUUUACUACUGGAAGAAUGGCAUGAGCCCCCAUUUUUCUUUUCAGUCCAAAGGUUUUGCUGCAAGGCAUAAGGCUCUUAGCAUUUGUUUACCUUGGCAUGUUUGUUUUUAAGAUUAUUCAGUAGCUCAGUGGGUGAUUGUUUACCCAUUGUUGUGCUCUGAAUGGUUUGGGAAUUCUUCUCAGCUGAAGGACUGGAAGGGCAAGCCUAAACUAUUCAUGAAGAGAGCUGAACUCUGUG